GCCUGGUCCUGCUGGGAGGGGGAAGCACGGGACGCCACCAGAAUCCAUCAGCCCAGUAAAGUGGCGGGAACGGCCGCAGGCAAGACGGCCGGAGCAGGAACUGCGGGCGGAGAAGGGACCACAGGACGGCCCCGGAAGGCGGGAAGAGGACGGCUGGGAACCAGCGAGGCAGACGCCUCGNCCGCACCAGACUGGGGAGAACGCCAGUUUGGUUGUGGAGCCGGCGAGGCUGUUUGGAGAGUGGAAAAGGCGGAAUUCUGGGGCGGGGAUGAGAGACACGGGCACAUCUAAGGUGGCUUCAUCAGCUUUCUACGAAAAAUCUGUUUUAACACCUCUCCUGAACAAUUUGCUGUGGCUGGACAGGGUAGAGUUUGGAGUGGAAAAACCUUCAGUCCCACCUGCACCCACAGAGGCUCAAAACCCCAUGAUCGCUUGACUGGGCACCUCACAAAGGGUACGGACCCUCGAUGAACCACCACAACGUCACCUCCCCAGCUCUCUCUGCUGCUGGAUCAAGAAACCUGGCCGGGGGGGGGGCACAUGCGUGUGGUUCGAAGAUGGCGGCGUCCCGCUAAGGCUCUGGACUCCACGGUUCAAAAAAGGCACCAAAUCCGCUCCCGGAGAANAAGAAGAACCUGGUUUUUAUACCCUGCUUUUCUCUGCCGAAGCUGACUCAAAGCGGCUUACAAGGCUAUUUUUCGCCCGAAGGCUUACAUUUAUCUAUCUUCCACAUCUUCUUAAAAGACAGAUCAUAAUUUGUACAAUUGUACAACUUCAGAGUUAGGGUAAAAGCAGGGACAGGUCUGUGAAAAGGAGGGAACCUGUGGGUGAUAGUGAAGACUGCACCUCCAAAGACUCACAGCUGAGGCGUACACCAACCAGCAUGCACACACACACACACACGGCAUUCUUGAAGAAACCUGGACUGUGCUGUUUGCCUUAGAGCUGCUAAAGUCCUCUUUUUAAAAUUUUAUUUUAUUNUGAAAUACAUAAAAAGUAUAUCUUAUUCCCAAACGGGUGUGUUCAUAUAGAUAACCUUUGUUCAUUNCAUNUUGGCNUCCCCCCUUCUUCAAAAAUUUCUUCNAGAUUUCUUNUUUCUUGCCCCACCUGGUUUCCUUCUUCUUCCAACCUGUCNUCUUUCAUCUUUAUUCUUCAAAUCCANNNAUAACAAGNUCAUUCUCUAAUUCUUGUAGAAAGUCAAUAAAGGGUUUCCAGUUCUUAAGAAACUUAUCCGC
Molecule: long non-coding RNA, 1235 nt
Filed under: Salvator merianae (Argentine black and white tegu)
Lineage: Eukaryota; Metazoa; Chordata; Lepidosauria; Squamata; Teiidae
Description: lncRNA (ENSSMRG00000008644.1)
Source: RNAcentral